This 314-nucleotide ribosomal RNA is filed under the name Escherichia coli. Its description in RNAcentral is "partial 23S ribosomal RNA". It matches the Rfam family "Bacterial large subunit ribosomal RNA", at positions 207 to 559 of the family's 2925-position model. The record is from RNAcentral. Lineage: Bacteria; Pseudomonadati; Pseudomonadota; Gammaproteobacteria; Enterobacterales; Enterobacteriaceae.
UACCCCGAGGAAAAGAAAUCAACCGAGAUUCCCCCAGUAGCGGCGAGCGAACGGGGAGGAGCCCAGAGCCUGAAUCAGUGUGUGUGUUAGUGGAAGCGUCUGGAAAGGCGCGCGAUACAGGGUGACAGCCCCGUACACAAAAAUGCACAUGCUGUGAGCUCGAUGAGUAGGGCGGGACACGUGGUAUCCUGUCUGAAUAUGGGGGGACCAUCCUCCAAGGCUAAAUACUCCUGACUGACCGAUAGUGAACCAGUACCGUGAGGGAAAGGCGAAAAGAACCCCGGCGAGGGGAGUGAAAAAGAACCUGAAACCGU